GGCGGCUCUCUCUAUACUGACUGCCAGGUGUGAAGGGCGGAGCUUAUAACAAUGAUUGACAGGGAGCUAAGAUGGAGGCGGCUCUCUCUAUACUGACUGCCAGGUGUAAAGGGCGGAGCUUAUAACAAUGAUUGACAGGGAGCUAAGAUGGAGGCGGCUCUCUCUAUACUGACUGCCAGGUGUAAAGGGUGGAGCUUAUAACAAUGAUUGACAGGGAGCUAAGAUGGAGGCUGCUCUCUCUAUACUGACUGCCAGGUGUAAAG
Molecule: non-coding RNA, 263 nt
Organism: Pelobates cultripes (western spadefoot toad)
Lineage: Eukaryota; Metazoa; Chordata; Amphibia; Anura; Pelobatidae
Source: the annotation of a GenBank genome assembly